Molecule: unclassified non-coding RNA, 219 nt
Filed under: soil metagenome
Description: partial contains 5.8S ribosomal RNA, internal transcribed spacer 2, and large subunit ribosomal RNA
Source: RNAcentral
AACAUCGCGCACCUGCGGGAACCUGCGGAAGGAUCAUUACAGAGUGUAAAAACCCCCAAAACCCAUGUGAACAUACCUUUUUGUUGCUUCGGCGGGAUCGCCCCGGGCGCCUUGUGUGCCCCGGAGUCAGGCGCCCGCCGGGGGACCCAAACUCUUGUUUUUAACGAGUAUCUUCUGAGUAACGUUUUUAAAUAAAUAAAAACUUUCAACAAUGGAUCU